This is a long non-coding RNA of Nannospalax galili (Upper Galilee mountains blind mole rat), 1594 nucleotides long. RefSeq lists it as uncharacterized. The transcript has 2 exons. Lineage: Eukaryota; Metazoa; Chordata; Mammalia; Rodentia; Spalacidae. The record is from RefSeq and is a predicted model, not a curated record.
CCAGGUCUACUCUUGGCUUCUUAAAAGGGAUGUUGGCAAGUGUCAGAGAGCAUUAGCAACAUGAGGACCCAGUCCUUUCUUCCCGCAGCUCACUGGAUGGCCAGCCCAGACUGCAGGGCGUUCCACUAGGCCUUAGAGAUACAAGGCAGAAAGUCGCCUUGUCUUCAAGAAGCAGACCAUGCUCCAUAAUACAAUGAGUGUCCUGCUGAAGAACAUCUGCCCAGAUUCAUAUGGGAACCUGGAGAAACCAUGUGGAAAACUGAUGAGAGGGAAUCAAAGAUGGAUGGCACCCAAGAAACCCGACACCUGGGACAUCUUGGAGCAAAGGAAUCCGAGCGCUCGUCCUCGUCCUCUGUUCUCCCUGCUGAGAUUGUUUUGAGAUUACUUGGCUGUUGUACUUUUAUCUCUCCUUGUAAACUUCAGAACAAGUUUGUCAGUAUCCACAGAAAGCGCGGAGGCAUCUUCUCUUGUAAGGGAAGCAGCAGUUUUCACCACUUUGUUCCUAUUCUGGUAUUCAAGUCUUCUCUCUCUCUCUCUCUCUCUCUCUCUCUCUCUCUCUCUCUCUCUCUCUUCGAUAGUCUGACUAAUGGUUUGUCAAUUUUAUUGAUCUUUCCAAAGUACCAACCUUUGAUUUCAUUGAGUUUCCCUAUUAUUUUUCUAUGUUUCGUUUAGUUCUACCAUAAUCUUUAUUAUUCCUUUCCUUGUGCCGGCUUUGGUUUUGUUUAUUCUUUUUCUAGUUUCUCAAGAUGGACAUUUAAGUCAUCAAUUUUUAGAUCUUUCUUUUUUUAAAAAAGAUUUAUUUAUUUUCAUUUGUGUGUUUGCGUGUUUGCCUAUAUGUAUGUAAAUGUACCACAUGUGUGCCUGGUACUCACAGAGAUUAGACAAGGGCAUCAGAUCCCCUGGAACUAGAGUUAGAGAUGGUUGUGAGCUGCCCUGUGGGUGCUGAGAACCGAACAGGGGUUCUCUGCCAGAGUUGAACCACCUCUCAAGUCCCUAGAUCUUCCUUUUUAAAAGGCAUUUAUGACCUUAAAUUUCCCCUGUAAGCACUGUUUUAGUUAUAUCCCAUGUUUUUUGUAUGUUGUGGAUUCAUUUUUUUAAUCUCAAAGUCCAUUUGCUCACCAUCAUUUGAGUUACAAGAGUAUUGAUUUAUACACAUUUAUGGCUUUUCCCAAUUUACUUUUACUACGUAUUUCUGAUGUCAUUUCAUCAUGGUCAAAGAACAUGUAUAAUGUAUAUUUUUUUAGUGUAUUGAGAGCUGAAGUAUGACCUAACACAUGUUGUACCUUGAUGAAUGCCCUGGGUCUACCUGAGAAGAUGUAUACUCUGCUGUCGUGGGUGGAAAGUCCUGUACAGGUGCCUGCUGGGUACGGUGAUCUGGAGUGCUCUUUAUGUCUUCUGGCUCCUUCUUGACCUUCUGCUUAGCUGUUUUACUCACCACCUACGGUGGGCUAUUUAGGUCCUUAGCCAUCGCUAUUGUGUUGCUGCUUCAGUUUUGUUGGCUAUUACAUCAUAAAUUUGGACAUGCUUGUGGUUGGGAUACUUUAUUGUUGGAUUUGAUCUUUUUAUUAUUAUAAAAGAUCCUCUUUUGUUUCUA